RNAcentral lists this ribosomal RNA (468 nucleotides) under uncultured bacterium. Its description in RNAcentral is "partial 16S ribosomal RNA". It matches the Rfam family "Bacterial small subunit ribosomal RNA", at positions 28 to 507 of the family's 1533-position model. The record is from RNAcentral.
GACGAACGCUGGCGGCGUGCUUAACACAUGCAAGUCGAACGGAAAGGCCCUGCUUUUGUGGGGUGCUCGAGUGGCGAACGGGUGAGUAACACGUGAGUAACCUGCCCUUGACUUUGGGAUAACUUCAGGAAACUGGGGCUAAUACCGGAUAGGAGCUCCUGCUGCAUGGUGGGGGUUGGAAAGUUUCGGCGGUUGGGGAUGGACUCGCGGCUUAUCAGCUUGUUGGUGGGGUAGUGGCUUACCAAGGCUUUGACGGGUAGCCGGCCUGAGAGGGUGACCGGCCACAUUGGGACUGAGAUACGGCCCAGACUCCUACGGGAGGCAGCAGUGGGGAAUAUUGCACAAUGGGCGGAAGCCUGAUGCAGCAACGCCGCGUGCGGGAUGACGGCCCUCGGGUUGAAAACCGCUUUCGCCUGUGACGAAGCGUGAGUGACGGUAAUGGGUAAAGAAGCACCGGCUAACUACGUG